AACGAACGCUGGCGGCAGGCUUAACACAUGCAAGUCGAACGCCCCGCAAGGGGCGUGGCCGCCGGGUGAGUAACGCGUGGGAACAUACCCUUUUCUACGGAAUAGCUCUGGGAAACUGGGAUUAAUACCGGAUACGCCCUACGGGGGAAAGAUUUAUCGGGGAAGGAUUGGCCCGCGUUGGAUUAGCUAGUUGGUGGGGUAAAGGCCUACCAAGGCGACGAUCCAUAGCUGGUCUGAGAGGAUGAUCAGCCACAUUGGGACUGAGACACGGCCCAAACUCCUACGGGAGGCAGCAGUGGGGAAUAUUGGACAAUGGGCGCAAGACUGAUCCAGCCAUGCCGCGUGAGUGAUGAAGGACUUAGGGUUGUAAAGCUCUUUCAACGAUGAAGAUAAUGACGGUAGUCGGAGAAGAAGCCCCGGCUAACUUCGUG
This 431-nucleotide ribosomal RNA is filed under the name uncultured bacterium. Its description in RNAcentral is "partial 16S ribosomal RNA". It matches the Rfam family "Bacterial small subunit ribosomal RNA", at positions 29 to 507 of the family's 1533-position model. The record is from RNAcentral.